This is a non-coding RNA of Picea glauca (white spruce), 250 nucleotides long. The record is from Rfam. NCBI's taxonomy places the organism in Eukaryota, Viridiplantae, Streptophyta, Pinopsida, Pinales, Pinaceae.
UUAUGGACUUGAUCGAAUUGAGCCUUGGUAUGGAGGCCUACCAAGUGAUAGCCUCCAAAUCUAGGGAACCCUAGGAUAUUUUGAAUGGGCAAUCUUGAGCUAAAUUUGGUUCAUGGAGACAAUACUUUCUUCUCCUAAGAUAGGAAAGGGAUAGGUGUUGAGACUCAAUGGAAGCUAUUCUAAUGAAUGAAUCUCAUUUGGUCCAACAUUGUAUUUAUAGAAUGCUCUAUUUAUACCUCGAAAGUGGGCA